GCUUAGCCGUAAACUUAAGUAAUUUCCAACAAAAUUACCCGCCAGAGAACUACUAGCCACCGCUUAAAACUCAAAGGACUUGGCGGUACUUUAUACCUGUCUAGAGGAGCCUGUUCUAUAAUCGAUGAACCCCGCUAUACCUUACCACCCCUUGCUAAUUCAGCCUAUAUACCGCCAUCUUCAGCGAACCCUGUCAAGGUCCAAUAGUGAGCACAAUGAUAAUCGUAAAUACGUUAGGUCAAGGUGUAGCCCAUGAGGUGGAAAGCAAUGGGCUACAUUUUCUAGUAUAGAAAAUUACGGAUCCUCUUAUGAAACUAAGAGGUGAAGGAGGAUUUAGUAGUAAAUUAAGAAUAGAGAGCUUAAUUGAACUAAGCAAUGAAGUAUGC
Molecule: ribosomal RNA, 386 nt
Filed under: Eospalax fontanierii baileyi (plateau zokor)
Lineage: Eukaryota; Metazoa; Chordata; Mammalia; Rodentia; Spalacidae
Description: partial 12S ribosomal RNA
Rfam family: Bacterial small subunit ribosomal RNA
Source: RNAcentral